Long non-coding RNA from Papaver somniferum (opium poppy), 2141 nucleotides. RefSeq lists it as uncharacterized. The record is from RefSeq and is a predicted model, not a curated record. The transcript is spliced from 9 exons. NCBI's taxonomy places the organism in Eukaryota, Viridiplantae, Streptophyta, Magnoliopsida, Ranunculales, Papaveraceae.
CUUCCUUCUUCACCGAGCAAGAAGAGCAGCCACUUCUUCUUCUUCUAUUCCUUCUGCUCGAGCACCAACGUCACACCGUCUCGCUGAUAUCAGCGCCAUAAUCUACCUUCUUCUUUUUCUUAAAUCAAUUUUUCUCAUAACCCUCUUGUUUUAUCUCUACAGUAGAACCCUAGAUCCAGGAUUUCUAUUUCUUAUCUAGGGUUUCAAUUAUAGAGAUGAGCAAGAGAUUCCUUCGAUUAAUCUACAGGAUGAUGCGGAUUAAAAACAAAGUUAAUGUUCAGGUGAUGUUCUUAAUGAGAUUCGUUUGAACAUCUUGGUUAGAAAUCGACAAUUUCUUUUACAAGGUUAAGGACCCUUUCUUCUAAAUCAUUGGGAUAGUCGGAACAAUCGAUCUGAAGACUAAUAAAACAGAUUUCUUUAUUUAAAUUUUGAGGAUGGUUAAGAACCCUAACUUUGUUUUUGUUGUUUGAUAGCCAUUAGAAGGUGGACCAGCUAAAAAAUUACCUAAGUUUGAAAACCAUUGGAUACUUCAUCGUCUGUUUUGUAUAUUGGUUUCUAUGAAAAGGAAAUGGAAGGGGAUCCCGUGGUCUCUACUUGACCAGCUUUGAUAUUCUGGGAGCUUAGCAUAUUAUUAUGAAUAUGGCAACCACCUUUCUGGCGGAAUCCCUUAUCCACCAAUGCAUUUUUCCGGUGGAUCUUCACCAUAUUCCAGCGGAUCUGUGAUGGGACAAGGUGGGAUGUCAAGUGGGAUGUACCAAAUGCCCUCUAUAAUGAUAGUUUUGGUUUGGGUUUGCCAAUGAUUCAUGCUUCUAUGGCUCAAGGCCAGGGAUAUUUCAAGACGAAAAUCCUCCAAGAAAGUCAGUCAGUAAGCAUUUUUAAAGUUGUUAUGACUCGACACGCGACAAUAACUGGACUGGUUCGUUUUCCCAAUCAGCGAACAGCUUCUGUUUUUCUCAACUUUGGUCAUGAAAAAGCUUUUCAAUGAUAAGCUCAAGCCUUACAUUCCUGAUUUCAAGCUUGUGUUAGACCACUUCUGCAUACAUGCCGGUGGAAGAGCCGUUAUUGAUGAAUUGGAGAAGAACCUACAGUUGCUUCCUUUACAUCUGGAGGCUUCUAGAAUGACCCUUCACCGAUUUGGGAACCCUUCUUCGAGUUCCAUCUGGUAUGAAUUGGCUUAUAUUGAUGCCAAAGGAAGGAUGAGGUGUAAAGCAAUCUCCUAAAGGUCCCUGGGAAGAUUGCGUUGACAGGUGGUAAAUUUGUACCUCGACUACCUCAAUGACAUUCACCUUGAAACAAAAGAGGAAACAGAUAAGGAGGUAUCUGUUUUGCAUAAUUCAAAUUAUAUGUUAUCUCUUUGUUUUCUCUUUUCAGUGUCAUGAGUAUGAAUGAAUUAACGGAUGAGUACAGGAUGUCCUCGUGGUUCUUUGUUAUGGAUCAAACUUAGUAAUUUUUUUUGACUCUUUCUUUAAUCAGUUUUUCUUGCUGGCUUGCUCAAUUGUAUGAGUCACUUAAAUCGUGCUGCAAGUUUAGCUUUGUACAUAUAGUUAGUGUAGUUUGAACUUUUAUACCAUUAUUGUGUUGUUGGCUAGGUUCUUACUCUCCAGCUAUUUAGUACAACACUCUCUCUUAUAUACUAGUAAAAGUUUAAGCUUGAGUGACGCUGCUGAGGACUCUUCGAACUAAUAGUUCAAAGCUGACAAGCAGUAGACAUUGAAUUCUCACAUUCUCAAGGCUGGUGCGCGCAAUGCAUAAUUUUGUAACUGUUCUGGUUCUGGCACUGCUUUUGCAGAACUCUAGCAAUUUCUGGUGGUGUCUAAUCAUGAUUGAUGAACAACUGAAGAAGAGGGCAUCAGAUGAAGCAGUAAUCAGGAUUGCUGAGGACAAGCAGAUAUUGAAUUAGAUAAAGAAACAAGUGGAUUCAGGUAAUCUUUUCAGAGUCAUCUGCCCAUACUUCGCAGUUAUGAAUCAUCUGAAAGUUAAACUCACCAUGAACCUAAGUAUCAUUGAACAAACAUAUAUAAUGAUUCGAACAAUGUUUUCUUCCCUUUUUUUUGUAGAAUGAAUGUUUGAAUGUGUAGUAGAGUGACUUGUAUUGAAUGGAGAAUGAAUGUUUUUUUUUUUUGAAGCAUAGAGAAUGAAUG